Molecule: long non-coding RNA, 641 nt
Organism: Daphnia pulicaria
Lineage: Eukaryota; Metazoa; Arthropoda; Branchiopoda; Diplostraca; Daphniidae
Exons: 5
Source: RefSeq, a predicted model, not a curated record
UGAGACGCUAGCUGAACCAUUAGAACUAACCGAGUCGGGAAUCCUCCCGAGACAACCGGUGAAUGCCCAGCUGUUCAGUAGAUCAGAGGAGAAAAACGGCACGCGACAAAUCCGUCCUUUUAAAUGUUUGCUGUGUGGCGCUGCUUUCAAGAAAUCUGCUCAUCUCAAAUUCUCAACCAACACAUACAAACUCAUUCGGGAUUGAAACCUUCCACUUGCAACAUCUGCCUCCGGAAUUUUGUUUCCAAGUGGGUUCUCAAAGCUCCCCAUCUAACGCACGAAAGAACGUCUGCCCCCAACUUUCAAUUCUCGGAAUGCAACCAAUAGCUGUUUUACUACGCGGGGUACACGGAAUCAACAUAAAGCAAGCCAUAGUGAUUCCCGGCCUUUUAUAUGUCCUUACUGCCAAAAGUCCUUCAAGACUUAUUCGGUAUGUAAAAAGCACGUAGGGACCCACACAAACGAAGUCAACCAUAUGCAACAAGCGCAGCCCUCUUCAGAACUUCCUGAAGUUUCCAUUGACGCGGAGGCGCUCGAAAAUUCAACAACAUUGCCACCAAUGUCUGAAACCCAAACCGAAUCACACUGGGAUUUGUUGAAUUACGAGCCAAGCAACAUGCCAGCUGAUAGCAGCACAACUC